GCCUCCUUAGCUCAGUGGUAGAGCAACGCACUUGUAAUGCGUAGGUCGUCAGUUCAAUCCUGACAGGGGGCUCCG
This 75-nucleotide transfer RNA is filed under the name Mycolicibacterium doricum. RNAcentral's name for it is "tRNA-Thr". It matches the Rfam family "tRNA". From Rfam's summary of the family: Transfer RNA (tRNA) molecules are approximately 80 nucleotides in length. Their secondary structure includes four short double-helical elements and three loops (D, anti-codon, and T loops). The record is from RNAcentral. Lineage: Bacteria; Bacillati; Actinomycetota; Actinomycetes; Mycobacteriales; Mycobacteriaceae.